Molecule: long non-coding RNA, 1324 nt
Organism: Cavia porcellus (domestic guinea pig)
Lineage: Eukaryota; Metazoa; Chordata; Mammalia; Rodentia; Caviidae
Exons: 4
Source: RefSeq, a predicted model, not a curated record
CUGCAAUCUUACUAGUCGAACUGCAUUUCUCUAGAAACUGAUCCUGAGACUUCUACAAGAUGUAACAUGGCUCAAACUGUCUUUCUACAGAACAAGAAAACUGUCCACGAAUGGUGCUGACUCAUGGGGAGAGGCUAGGAUCUGGCUGUUCCAGUCCAGGACCAGAUGAGAGUUUGAUUAAACUGUAACUAAAAACAGAGAGAUGUGGUCACUACUUCCUGCCAGGCUCCCUGUCGUUAAUAGUCAGACUACCAACCAAGCCUUGGUAAUACAGUACCUGGAGACCCGGUUCAGAUGAGAUGCAGCUUCGCUCUGCAACUGUCUCCUCCUGAAUGGACGCCCCCAAGUUGUUUGCAUCUUCUGUCCUGGGCGUCAGUGUUUCCCUUCUCGGCCAGCAGCGGAGCUCGGGCUGGCCUUCUGGUGAUGCCCCACAGCUGCUGCUUGCUCUUCGGGGUCCCCCUGGGCAGCGGAACACCUUGGUUCCUCCCAAGGUCUCUCCACAUUGUUCUCUGCUGCUACAUUUCCUCAAGUUUUAUGUAAAUUGAAGCAUCCAGUAAGUGGUCUUUUUUUUUCUCUGUACUUUUCGUAUUACAUAGAAGUCCUUAUUUUACGAAGAUAAUAUUUUUCCUAGAAAUUUUAUUGUUUGAAUUUACUUUGGCUCCUGCCUGAUUUUUAAGUUAAUUAACAUUUGUAUGUGUUACAAAGUGUAAGUUGAUGAUCACUUUUUUUGUUUAUGGCUAUGCAGUUAUUGUGUUACCACUUGUGGAAAGACUAUAGAUCAAUUAAUUUCUGAUACAUAAAAGUUUUAUAAUGAAGACUACUGUGAGCAUUAUUUGUCCUGCACUUAUAAUACUGAAAUUUGGGCUAGGGAAUGUCUUUUCCAUUGAUCAAAAUGUAAUUAUUGCUAGAAACUCCCAAGAGAAUUUGUAUUCUUCCCAUUUUGUAACCUAAUAAAAACAUGUUGGAUAAGUAUCAAUUCAGCAAAAAUCCGAAAGAGAAAUAGCUAAGGAAAUUGGAAAUAAAAUAUUUUCUGAAUGUUUAUUAAUAAAAUAUAAAAUAAUAUAAGGUAUAGUAUAUUGCAAUAUAGUAUUGUAUAAAAUAUAAAAUAAAUGUGAUUAUUUGUAUGGUCACUAUACCCACCAUGAUUAUUUCAAAAUGUAUUUAAUACAUAUUUUAAUAUAUUCAGCUUGAAAAUUAAUGACCAAAUUUUAAUAAUUUCAUGUUUAUAUUUCAUAAAAAUAUUACUUGAACUAUGUUAAAAUAUUCUGUUGAAUUGUUAAGACAGCAAAUAAAAUGUUUUCCCAGAAAUAUACUUAAUUAUCAG